Molecule: microRNA, 20 nt
Filed under: Monodelphis domestica (gray short-tailed opossum)
Lineage: Eukaryota; Metazoa; Chordata; Mammalia; Didelphimorphia; Didelphidae
Description: mdo-miR-7337-5p
Source: miRBase by way of RNAcentral
AAGCCUCACUGAUACCUAUC